This 1134-nucleotide long non-coding RNA is filed under the name Gossypium barbadense (sea-island cotton). RNAcentral describes it as "long non-coding RNA (GBAR_LNC004864)". Lineage: Eukaryota; Viridiplantae; Streptophyta; Magnoliopsida; Malvales; Malvaceae. The record is from RNAcentral.
UUUAAUGUUUAUGUAAACGGGCCAAUUUGCCCAGGCCCACUUCAAAACCAAAAUCCAAAAUAAAAAUAAUAAAUAAACAAAACAUCAAAUAUUAAAGGUCCAUUAAAUGUCCCAACUACAUAACCCAAGACCCAAACAAGCCCAAUAACUAAUCCUAACCCAAAUUUAAAACCUAGACCCAAAUUACAAGCCCGAUAGGCCCAAUAUUUUGAGAACAGAAACCCUAGGGUUUCUUCCCCACUUUUGUGCCACAACUAGACAACGCCUCAUGUACGGCCUCCGUGCACCCAAAGCCUGGCUCCGUACGCUCCAGCGCUCCAGCAGUCACGCCCCACAUCAAGCGCCACGUACCACCGCGCCAACGGGCCUCCGUACCUGCGAAGAAAUAGACAAACAACAGCAGCAACAAGCCAAUACGAAAGCAAAAAAGAAAAAUUAUAUUUUUUAUUUUAUUUUGAACAUUCGGCUAUAUAGCCUAUUAUUUUCGAUUGUAAAGAGGCUCUUUUUUUUACGGAUACUACAAAAACUCAAUACAAAAGAAUCAGCAAAAAUCAAAAUGUGAUUGAAAUUUUUCGUCUUCAAUAUAUUUCCUUUUGUAUGUAUUCUGUUUUCUUUUAGAAAUAUUUUUUUUCAAAUAAAAAAAGAGAAAGAAAUGAGAAGUUUACCUUCGCGGAUGCAUCGAUGAGAUUCUCGUCUUCUCCGUCGAAGUCGGGGUUAGAGAUGAGAGUGAAAAUGGUUUUUAAGUGUCGAUUUUGAUGGAAAUAAAGAAGGCUUCUACAUCAUUUACCCACUUUAAUGGUGAACCGACGAUUAAAUGGCCUUAGGAGAUGAAGGUUGCUGCGCCGAAACCCUAACAAUUGGGUAUUCGGUCUGCAACUUGGAAGAAUGGCAAAAUGUCAUUCAUUUUCUUUAAAUUUUGAGUAAACAACGAAACGGCACCGUUGCAAGGGGGAGGGUCCAUGCGUCAACCUGUUCCAGGACCCGAACCCGCGCUUUUGUGCUUCAAAUGGGUUAUUUGCAAGAUUGGUCCUCCCCUUUCGCGUGCGCAUUCAAUCGCACCUUAUCUGUUUUGCUUCUUUUUUUAAAUUAGCUCGUUAAUUUGUGUGCAUUUGCACUUUAGUCCUCGGUACAGCG